RNAcentral lists this ribosomal RNA (758 nucleotides) under Acinetobacter sp. Its description in RNAcentral is "bacterial SSU rRNA". It matches the Rfam family "Bacterial small subunit ribosomal RNA", at positions 75 to 828 of the family's 1533-position model. The record is from RNAcentral. Lineage: Bacteria; Pseudomonadati; Pseudomonadota; Gammaproteobacteria; Moraxellales; Moraxellaceae.
GUAGCUUGCUACAUUACCUAGCGGCGGACGGGUGAGUAAUGCUUAGGAAUCUGCCUAUUAGUGGGGGACAACAUUCCGAAAGGAAUGCUAAUACCGCAUACGUCCUACGGGAGAAAGCAGGGGACCUUCGGGCCUUGCGCUAAUAGAUGAGCCUAAGUCGGAUUAGCUAGUUGGUGGGGUAAAGGCCUACCAAGGCGACGAUCUGUAGCGGGUCUGAGAGGAUGAUCCGCCACACUGGGACUGAGACACGGCCCAGACUCCUACGGGAGGCAGCAGUGGGGAAUAUUGGACAAUGGGGGGAACCCUGAUCCAGCCAUGCCGCGUGUGUGAAGAAGGCCUUUUGGUUGUAAAGCACUUUAAGCGAGGAGGAGGCUACUAGUAUUAAUACUACUGGAUAGUGGACGUUACUCGCAGAAUAAGCACCGGCUAACUCUGUGCCAGCAGCCGCGGUAAUACAGAGGGUGCGAGCGUUAAUCGGAUUUACUGGGCGUAAAGCGUGCGUAGGCGGCUGAUUAAGUCGGAUGUGAAAUCCCUGAGCUUAACUUAGGAAUUGCAUUCGAUACUGGUCAGCUAGAGUAUGGGAGAGGAUGGUAGAAUUCCAGGUGUAGCGGUGAAAUGCGUAGAGAUCUGGAGGAAUACCGAUGGCGAAGGCAGCCAUCUGGCCUAAUACUGACGCUGAGGUACGAAAGCAUGGGGAGCAAACAGGAUUAGAUACCCUGGUAGUCCAUGCCGUAAACGAUGUCUACUAGCCGUUGGGG